This 479-nucleotide ribosomal RNA is filed under the name uncultured bacterium. RNAcentral's name for it is "bacterial SSU rRNA". It matches the Rfam family "Bacterial small subunit ribosomal RNA", at positions 8 to 483 of the family's 1533-position model. The record is from RNAcentral.
AGAGUUUGAUCCUGGCUCAGAUUGAACGCUGGCGGAAUGCUUUACACAUGCAAGUCGAGCGGCAGCGCGGGGCAACCCGGCGGCGAGCGGCGAACGGGUGAGUAAUGCAUCGGAACAUGUCCAUGUCGUGGGGGACAGCCCGGCGAAAGCCGGAUUAAUACCGCAUACGCCCGAGAGGGGAAAGUGGGGGACCGCAAGGCCUCACGCGAUUGGGUUGGCCGAUGUCCGAUUAGCUAGUUGGCGGGGUAAAGGCCCACCAAGGCGAUGAUCGGUAGCUGGUCUGAGAGGAUGAUCAGCCACACUGGGACUGAGACACGGCCCAGACUCCUACGGGAGGCAGCAGUGGGGAAUUUUGGACAAUGGGGGCAACCCUGAUCCAGCCAUUCCGCGUGAGUGAAGAAGGCCUUCGGGUUGUAAAGCUCUUUUGUCCGGAACGAAACGGCCAGCGUGAAUAUCGCUGGCUACUGACGGUACCGAAG